Molecule: long non-coding RNA, 3719 nt
Filed under: Mus musculus (house mouse)
Lineage: Eukaryota; Metazoa; Chordata; Mammalia; Rodentia; Muridae
Description: long non-coding RNA chr2:117422779-117426498
Source: RNAcentral
UCUUCAACAUAAAAAUAAUCAAAAAAAACCUUACAUGGCAUCUGUGCCUUUUGUGAGAACUAUGCUGCCUGUUUCUGACUAAUUAAUGGAUUCUCACUGGAAGCGACAGAUAAGCCAACCUGUCACAGGAGCAGCCCCGGCUCUCCCUUCCUCCUUCUGCAGGUCCCACACUUCAGAAGACACAGGGCUGUGAUUUGUGGCCCAGGUGGAGGCCCUGGUGCCCCGCUCCUCCUCUUUGGUUCUGUUUAUUUAUUGGUUUAGGCUGCUCUUUUUCAGAUUUUCUUCUUAUAUCCUUGAAUUUGUUUAUAAGGCCUUCAAAGGCAAGGUGACUCCAAUGUUUGUCUCUGUGGGCACGUGGUCACACAUUACUGUUUUUUUCCUCUUGAUUUCUGCCUCCCCGACCUCCGUAAAAUCUGAAUCCAGGGGAACCAGGCUUCAAUACUUGAGUGGCUGGCAUUUCUAUAUAUGGUCAGGUGAAUAAAGCACACACCAAUAUGUGUUUUUUCUUCCACCGGGCACAGUGGUCACACUUAAAAUCCCAGCACUCAGGAAAUCAGUGGUUUAAGGUCCCACUCAUCCCCUAUUACAUAGUGAGUUCAAGGUCAGCCUGGGAUACAUUUCCAUCCAUAAGUUAGUCUUUAUAUCUCUUGAUAAGCAAGGCUCGCCUCUCCUAAAAGCAUUGAGAAAUUAAAAAGUUCUCUGGAAUGUUCUAUCCUUAUGCUACCAGAUUCCCCUCGGCUUUCAUUCUCUACCCACUUCCCCCUCCCAGGUCCUUCUGGGUAUCUCACCCAAUGAAGCUGAAAAAAAAUAAUAUCCCCUAGAAUGAGAAAUUAUAUUUGGUUUAAUCAAGCUUCACUAAUAUCAAUUCGGAAGCUUUCUCUCUGCUCCAUUUAUUUAAAAGCAAUAUUUAUGGAAUUGAGCCUGGGCAUCUUAGCCCUAGCUAAGAGGUUUUAGAUGUGUAUUUUAAUGUAGAUUAAAAAAAAUACUCAAUUGCUCUCCACCAUGUUUUUAAAAUUUACUUUCUCUCUUUCUCCCUCCCUAAAUAUGAACAAGCCUCCGUCCCCCUUGUGUGUGUGUGUGUGUAUACAUGUGAUGGCUGUGUGUGGAGGUCAGAAGACAGCUUUCUGAAGUCCGUUCUCUUUCUCUUCGGUAGGAUCUUGGGACUCAGCUCAGGUCUUUCAGCUUGAGCUGAGCAUGCUUUUACAGGUUCUAGCCUUUCUCCAGUCCUGACUUUACCUUUGAGACAGGGUCUUUCAUCAGGCUUGCUGAUUGGCUGAUUGGCAGACCAUAGGCCUCUGGGAUUGCCCUGCUGCUGCUCCCCCUGUACGGACACUGCAUAUGCUGUUUUGGGUACCAAGGAUCCAGUACUCAUGCUUAAAAAUCAAGUACGUUACUAACUGAGCUGUCUCCCUGCCUGUGAGGGUUAGUUUCUUUGUUUUUGUUUUUGUUUUCAAUUGUAAAGGAAGGGCUAUAAAUUCUGAAUGCCGGGAUGAACACUUAGAGGCCCAUGAUUUGCUUAAAUAUAUGCACGCGCGCACGCACACACACACACACACACACACACACAUCUGAACUAUUUCUAUGAAGAACAGAACUAUUUUAAAGUGCUUUCUCCAUUGACACCCGAGCUGAAGAGCAAUUUCAUAGCAUAAUUAUAACGCAUCACAUAAACUGGCUAAGCUUUUGUUCUCGCUGUGAUCGCACUCAAGAGAGUUCCUUUUUUCACCUCCCCUUCCCACCUUGACUGAAUUAAGAAUAUCCAAACUUUAAGGCUGUUCUUCCUCUAGAGAAUAAAAAUGAUGCUCUAAAAUGAAGUGCCUAAGAAGUAAUGGGUGGGAGAGAAUUUCUUGGUCCAUGACUCACUCCAUUAUUAUGGGAAAGGGUAGUUUUUAAAACUGUUCUUAAGAACUCUGCUGAGGCUAACACAGGGGUGGGGGGGGGAGCCAGGAGGAGAGAACUAUGUGUACCAAAGUCCUGGAUAGAGGACGGGUGCUCAUUUGUCAAUGCCCCUGGGCACCUCCUGAGCCCUUAGCUCCGGUUUGCUUGUCAAGGAGGUAGAACAGAUGAUAACUACAUUUUACUAUACAAGACUUGAAUAUUUGGGGCAUGCAAAGAUGGUUUGAAACCAAAUACCAGAUAGGCAUUUUAUGGUACUUUGGGAAAUAAAACAACAACAGCAGCAGCAACAACAAAAAAUCCCCAAACCAACCAACAACCAACCAACCAACCAACCAACCAACCAACCAAAAACCCACAAAGGCCCUUUGGACUUAAUGUUUAGGUAAUUAGGAUAAAGAGUUUUAGAAUGGUAAAACCUCAAAGGCACUGUCUUGAUUUUUCUGUAAAUGAAAGUGCUGUUUAAUGAUCUGGUUAUAAGGAUUGCAUACAAAUGGCAUCAGGACUGGAUGUGGUGGCACAUGUCUUGUAUCACAGCACUUGGUGAACAGAGGCAGGGGAAUCUCUUUGAGUUACAGGCUAGCCAGCAUGACACGGUGAGACUCUGUCUUAAACAAACAAACAAACAAAAAAACAAACAAAGGUAGCAUAAGAGUGAUCAUGGGCAUCAAAGUUACCCCCAUAGGAAGUGUUCCUCAUCAUGAUGAAUGAUUAAUAUUAAAUAAUGUGUUUGUAGGAGUGAUGACAUUUUUUUCUGACCACAUGAGUAUACAUAACCAAAAGGUUAUUAUGGAAAUAACAUAACAAUUAUUCCUUGUCUGUUUCAUGUUUUCGUUUGUAGUUUUUAUUGUGUGUAGUGCUGGGGCGGAACCAAAGCCACAUUUGCUAAGCAAGCACUUUGUCUCUGAGCCACAUUCAAUAUCAAUUUUAUUUUGCUUUUUCAUUUUGACACAGGAACCACUAUGUAGCUCAGGCUGGCCUUGAACUUGUGAUCCUUUUGUCUCAGCCUCUCCUACGGGGAGUAUAGGUGUGUACCAUUGUGCCUGACUGAGGCAUGUUUGGAAGACACUUGGAAUAUCAAGACUGCCAACUUGGAUGUUCAGAAAAGUGUGGUAUGUAUGUACAGUGCCAUUUUAUUGGGCUCCCCAAAGGAACCAACUCAUGGAUGGAACUAUAAAUAAUUAUAUCAAUUAUUAAUCCAAUGUCAGAAAGACAUGCAGCACAUGGAGUCUUCUUAUCUGUACUUUUGUACUUCUUAUAUUUUAUAUAGAUGCAUAAAUUAAUCUAUGUAUGUAUGACAUUUGAAGGUUUGAAUGAGAAUGGGCCCUGUAGACUCAUAUAUUUGAAUGCUUGGACCCUAGUUGGUGGAACUGUUUGGGAAGGACUAUGAGAUGCAGCCUUGUUGGCGGAAGAGUGUUACUGAGGGUGAGCUUGAAGUCUCAAAAGCCCAGCCUAUUUGCAGCUAGCUCUCCCUGCCUUGUGCUUGCAGAUCAGGAUGUAGCUCUUGGCUAUAGUAUCAGUGCAGCCCCUACCGGCUGCUAUGCGUCUCUCCAUAAUGGGUGUGGACUCUAACCCUUUAGAAGUGUGGGUCCCCAGUAAGCUCUUUCUCCUAUAAGUUGCCUAGGUCAUGGUGUCUCAUCACAGCAAUAUAAAAGUAGGUCAAAGUAAAUCUGUUUAGGGACAAAGACAUGUAGCAGAAGGGGAGAAGAGUGAGAAGGAUACACACACACAGAGACAGAGAGACAGAGAUAGAAAGAGAAGGAAGAGGAAGGGGAAGGGAGAAGGAGGAGGAGGAAGAGGAGGAAGAGGAAGAGAAGGAAAGG